UACGGAGGGUGCGAGCGUUGUCCGGAAUCACUGGGCGUAAAGGGCGCGUAGGCGGCCUGAUAAGUAGGGGGUGAAAUCCUGCGGCUUAACCGCAGGGCUGCCUCAGAUACCGACGGUCUCGAGGGAGGUAGGGGCGAGCGGAACUGAUGGUGGAGCGGUGAAAUGCGUUGAUAUCAUCAGGAACUCCGGUGGCGAAGGCGGCUCGCUGGACCUUUUCUGACGCUGAGGCGCGAAAGCUAGGGGAGCAAACGGG
This 253-nucleotide ribosomal RNA is filed under the name uncultured bacterium. Its description in RNAcentral is "partial 16S ribosomal RNA". It matches the Rfam family "Bacterial small subunit ribosomal RNA", at positions 524 to 776 of the family's 1533-position model. The record is from RNAcentral.